RNAcentral lists this transfer RNA (59 nucleotides) under Mesocricetus auratus (golden hamster). It matches the Rfam family "tRNA", at positions 8 to 63 of the family's 71-position model. Rfam says of the family: Transfer RNA (tRNA) molecules are approximately 80 nucleotides in length. Their secondary structure includes four short double-helical elements and three loops (D, anti-codon, and T loops). Lineage: Eukaryota; Metazoa; Chordata; Mammalia; Rodentia; Cricetidae. The record is from Rfam by way of RNAcentral.
UGGCUCAGUCGGUAGAGUGCCUGCAUGGCAAGCAGGAGAACCUGAGUUCAGGUCCUCAG